RNAcentral lists this unclassified non-coding RNA (244 nucleotides) under Hevea brasiliensis (rubber tree). Lineage: Eukaryota; Viridiplantae; Streptophyta; Magnoliopsida; Malpighiales; Euphorbiaceae. The record is from RNAcentral.
GACGAUUCAGAACCUCACCGCCAGUUGCUUAAUUCUUUGGAUAAUUUCAGGAAGAGUACAGACCCGACGAUGAAGAUGGAGAUGAUGACGUAGAUACGCAUGUUGAAAAGAAACCAUUUUUCGCCUCAUCAGAAGGAGUUACAUUUCAUGCAAAUUCGUUUAUUGAGCUCCAUAUCUCUAGGCCGUUGCUUCGGGCUUGUGAAGCAUUGGGUUACAGUAAGCCUACCCCAAUUCAGGCGGCUUG